RNAcentral lists this ribosomal RNA (3281 nucleotides) under Begonia fuchsioides. RNAcentral describes it as "eukaryotic LSU rRNA". It matches the Rfam family "Eukaryotic large subunit ribosomal RNA". The record is from RNAcentral. Lineage: Eukaryota; Viridiplantae; Streptophyta; Magnoliopsida; Cucurbitales; Begoniaceae.
AGAGACCCCAAGUCAGGCGAGAUUACCCGCUGAGUUUAAGCAUAUAAAUAAGCAGAGGAAAAAAACUUUCAAGGAUUCCCUUAGUAACGACGAGCAAACCAGGAAAUGCCCAGCUUGAGAAUCGAGUGCCUACGGUGUCCGAAUUGUAGUCAGGAGAAGCAUCCUCAGCGGCGGACCAAGCUCAAGUCCCCUGGAAGGGGGUGCCAGAGAGAGUGAGAGUCCCGUCGCGCUUGGACCCUGUCGCACCACGAGGCGCUGUCUACGAGUUGGGUUGUUUGGGAAUGCAGCCCAAAUUGGGCGGUAAAUACUGUCCAAGGCUAAAUAUUGGCGAGGGACCGAUAGCAAACAAGUACCACGAGGGAAAGAUGAAAAGGACUUUGAGAAAAGUGUUAAAGAGUACUUGAAAUUGUCGGGAGGGAAGAAGAUAGAGGGCGGCGGUGCAUCCUAGUUGGAUGUGGAACGACGCUGAGCCGGUCUGCCAAUCAACUCGAGGCGUUGACCGAUGCUGAUUGGGGCGGCGUCGCAAGUCGGGGCCUUUGUUGGCAGCGCGCUCAGUCAUCAGCGCACUACAGGCAUCGCCUUGCGGGCUCCCCAUUUGGCCCUUCUUGAAACACGGACCAAGGAGUCUGACAUGUGUACGAGUCAAUGGGUGAGAAAAUCUGUGAGGCGCAAGGAAGCUAAGUGUCGGGAUCCCCUUGAGGGUUGCACCACCGACCGUCCUUGAUAUUCUGAGAAGGGUUCGAGUGUGAGCAUGCCUGUCGGGACCCGAAAGAUGGUGAACUAUGCCUGAGUAGGGCGAAGCCAGAGUAAACUCUGGUGGAGGCCCGCAGCAAUACUGACAUGCAAAUCGUUUGUCUGACUUGGGUAUAGGGGCAAAAGACUAAUCGAAUCGUCUAGUAGCUUGUUCCCUCCAAAGUUUCCCUUAGGAUAUCUGGAGCCCAUGGGCGAGUUCUAUCGGGUAAAGCCAAUGAUUAGAGGCAUCGGGGGCACAACACCCUCAACCUAUUCUCAAACUUUAAAUAGGUAGGACGACGCGGCUUCUUUGUUGAGUCGUGCCACGGAAUCGAGAGCUUCAAGUGGGCCAUUUUUGGUAAGCAGAACUGGCGAUGUGGGAUGAACCAAAAGCCAGGUUACAGUGUCCAACUGUGCGCUAACCUAGAACCCACAAAGGGUUUUUGUCGAUUAAGAUAGCAGGACAGUUAUCAUGGAAGUCGAAAUCCGCUAAGGAGUGUGUAACAACUCACAUGCCGAAUCAACUAGCCCCGAAAAUGGAUGGCGCUAAGCACGCAGCCUAUACAUGGCCAUCAGGGCAAGUACCAGGCCCCGAUGAGUAGGAGGGUGCGCCAGUAGCCAAAAAACCUGGGGCGCGAGCCCGGGCGGAGUGGCCGUCGGUGCAGAUCUAGGUGGUAGUAGCAAAUAUUAAAAUGAGAACUUUGAAUGCCGAAGAGGGGAAAGGUUCCAUGUAAACAACACUUGCACAUGGGUUAGUCGAUCCUAAGAGACAGGCCAAUCUCGUCUGACAGUGCCUAGAGUGCGAGCAUCGAAAGGGAAUCGUGUUAAAAUUCCUGAAUCGAGAAGUGGGAGCUGACAGCAACGUUAGGGAGUCUGGAGACGUCGUCGGGGACCUCGCGAAGAGUUAUCUUUUUUGUUUAGCAGCUUGCCCAUCGUGGAAACGGCUCAGCCGGAGGUACGGUCCUGUGGCUGGAAGAGCACUGCAUGUCGCGCGGUGCUCGGUACGUCCUCGAAGACCCUUAAAAAUUUAGAGGACCGAGUGCCUCCCAUGCCCAGUCGUACUCAUAACCGCAUCAGGUCUCCAAGAUGAACAACCUCUGGUCGGUGGAACAAUGUAGGCAAGGGAAGUCAGAAAAAUAGAUUCAAAAUCUCGGGAAAAGGAUUGGCUCUGAGGGCUGGGCACGGGGGUCCCCGUCCCGAUUCCGUCGGCUGUCGAUGGACUGCUCAAGCGGGUCGUCGCGUGCCGGCCUGGGGACGGACUGGGAACGACUCCUUCGGGGGCCUUUCCUGGGCAUCAAAUAGUCGACUCAGAAUUGGUACGGACAAGGGGAAUCCGACUGUUUAAUUAAAAGAAAGCAUUGCGAUGGUCCUUGCGGAUGCUCACGCAAUGUGAUUUCUGCCCAGUGCUCUAAAUGUCAAAGUGAAGAAAUUCAACCAAGCGCGGGUAAACGGCGGGAGUAACUAUGACUCUCUUAAGGUAGCCAAAUGCCUCGUCAUCUAAUUAGUGACGCACAUGAAUGGAUUAACGAGAUUCCCACUAACCCUUUCUACUAUCCAGCGAAACCACAGCCAAGGGAACAAGCUUGGAAGAAUCAGUGGGGAAAGAAGACCUUGUUUAGCUUAACUCUAGUCCGACUCUAUAAAAUGACUUGAGAGGUGUAGGAUAAGUGGGAGCCAGAAACAGAAAAAGUGAAAUAACACUACUUUUAACGUUAUUUUACUUAUUCUGUGAAUCGGAAGCGGGGCAACGCCCAUCUUUUUGGACCCAAGGCCCACCUCGGCAUGUCGAUCCGGGUGGAAGACAUUGUCAGGUCGGGAGUUUGGCUGGAGCAGCACAUCUGUUAAAAGAUAACGAAGGUGUCCUAAGAUGAGCUUAACGAGAACAGAAAUCUUGUGUGGAACAAAAGGGUAAAAGCUCGUUUGAUUUUGAUUUCCAGUACGAAUACAAACCGUGAAAGCAUGGCCUAUCGAUCCUUUAGACCUUCAGAAUUUGAAGCUAGAUGUAUCAGAAAAGUUACCACAAGGAUAACUGGCUUGUGGCAGCCAAGCGUUCAUAGCAACGUUGCUUUUUGAUCCUUCGAUGUCGGCUCUUCCUAUCAUUCUGAAGCAGAAUUCACCAAGUGUUGGAUUGUUCACCCACCAAUAGGGAACGUGAACUAGGUUUAGACAGUCAUGAGACAGGUUAGUUUUACCCUACUGAUGACAGCGUCACAAUACUAAUUCAACCUAGUACGAGAAGAACCGUUGAUUCGAACAAUUGGUCAUUGCGCUUGGUUGAAAAGCCAGUGGUGCGAAGCUACUGUGUGCUGGAUUAUGACUGAAUGCCUCUAAGUCAGAAUCUGGGCUAGAAGCGACGCACGGGCCCGCCGCCCAUUGGCCAAGCCCUUGCAAUCGAGCCGUUGCGUGGGCCGCCUUGAAGUGUUAUUUCAAUCGAGCGGCAAGUAGAAUCCUUUGCAGACGACUUAAAUACGCGACGAGGUAUUGUAAGUGGCAGAGUGGCCUUGCUGCCAUGAUCCACUGAGAUUCAGCCUCACGUCGCAUCGAUUUGU